GAUGAACGCUGGCGGCGUGCCUAAUACAUGCAAGUCGAGCGAACAGACGAGGAGCUUGCUCCUCUGACGUUAGCGGCGGACGGGUGAGUAACACGUGGAUAACCUACCUAAGACUGGGAUAACUUCGGGAAACCGGAGCUAAUACCGGAUAAUAUAUUGAACCGCAUGGUUCAAUAGUGAAAGACGGUUUUGCUGUCACUUAUAGAUGGAUCCGCGCCGCAUUAGCUAGUUGGUAAGGUAACGGCUUACCAAGGCAACGAUGCGUAGCCGACCUGAGAGGGUGAUCGGCCACACUGGAACUGAGACACGGUCCAGACUCCUACGGGAGGCAGCAGCAGGGAAUCUUCCGCAAUGGGCGAAAGCUUGACGGAGCAACGCCGCGUGAGUGAUGAAGGUCUUCGGAUCGUAAAACUCUGUUAUUAGGGAAGAACAAAUGUGUAAGUAACUAUGCACGUCUUGACGGUACCUAAUCAGAAAGCCACGGCUAACUACGUG
Molecule: ribosomal RNA, 495 nt
Filed under: uncultured bacterium
Lineage: Bacteria
Description: partial 16S ribosomal RNA
Rfam family: Bacterial small subunit ribosomal RNA
Source: RNAcentral